RNAcentral lists this ribosomal RNA (432 nucleotides) under uncultured bacterium. RNAcentral's name for it is "partial 16S ribosomal RNA". It matches the Rfam family "Bacterial small subunit ribosomal RNA", at positions 29 to 507 of the family's 1533-position model. The record is from RNAcentral.
ACGAACGCUGGCGGCAGGCCUAACACCUGCAAGUCGAGCGGACCUUUCGGGGUCAGCGGCGGACGGGUGAGUAACGCGUGGGAAUAUGCCCUUCUCUACGGAAUAGUCCUGGGAAACUGGGGGUAAUACCGUAUACGCCCUCUGGGGGAAAGAUUUAUCGGGGAAGGAUUAGCCCGCGUUGGAUUAGGUAGUUGGUGGGGUAAUGGCCUACCAAGCCGACGAUCCAUAGCUGGUUUGAGAGGAUGAUCAGCCACACUGGGACUGAGACACGGCCCAGACUCCUACGGGAGGCAGCAGUGGGGAAUCUUAGACAAUGGGGGCAACCCUGAUCUAGCCAUGCCGCGUGAGUGAUGAAGGCCUUAGGGUUGUAAAGCUCUUUCAGCUGGGAAGAUAAUGACGGUACCAGCAGAAGAAGCCCCGGCUAACUCCGUG